UAUGUGAUCGUCUCUCGCAUAUCAAUAAGCGGAGGAAAAGAAACUAACAAGGAUUCCCCUAGUAACGGCGAGUGAAGCGGGAAGAGCUCAAAUUUGAAAUCUUAAAGGGUUUCCCUUUACGAAUUGUAGUUUAAAGAAGUGUUUUCUGUUGAGGUUUUGGUAAAAGUUCUUUGGAAUAGGACAUCAUAGAGGGUGAGAAUCCCGUAUUUGACCUUUACUUUCAACUUUGUGAUACACUUUCAAAGAGUCGGAUUGUUUGGGAAUGCAGUCCAAAAUGGGUGGUAAAUUUCAUCUAAAGCUAAAUAUUGGCGAGAGACCGAUAGCGAACAAGUACCGUGAGGGAAAGAUGAAAAGAACUUUGAAAAGAGAGUUAAACAGUACGUGAAAUUGUCAAAAGGGAAGCGUUUGACACCAGUGUUGCUUUUUCUGAAAAUCAAUUAAAGAACUGUUUAUGCUAAGUUGUUUAGACUUUAUCAGCUAACUGUUUAGUUUUGAGCUUUUCUUUAAUGCACUUUUCAGUUAACAAGUCAACAUCAAUUUCUUUUGCUGUAAAAAAGCUUGAGGAAGGUGGCUUGAGAUUCGUCUUAAGUGUUUAUAGCCUCUUGCCUAUGCAGUCGGAGAGAUUGAGGUCUGCAGCGUAGAUCCUUCGGGGCUAAAUGCAUUUGUGCUAAGUUAUAGCAUUUUAUAGACAACUUGUUGACUACUGAUUUGUCUUGUAGCUUACUCGCUUAUGUUAUUUUACCUACGCUUAGGAUGUUGACACACGCGCGUGCUCG
Molecule: ribosomal RNA, 776 nt
Filed under: uncultured Neocallimastigales
Lineage: Eukaryota; Fungi; Neocallimastigomycota; Neocallimastigomycetes; Neocallimastigales
Description: partial large subunit ribosomal RNA
Rfam family: Eukaryotic large subunit ribosomal RNA
Source: RNAcentral